Long non-coding RNA from Rhagoletis pomonella (apple maggot), 841 nucleotides. RefSeq lists it as uncharacterized. NCBI's taxonomy places the organism in Eukaryota, Metazoa, Arthropoda, Insecta, Diptera, Tephritidae. The record is from RefSeq and is a predicted model, not a curated record. The transcript has 3 exons.
UGUACACUGAAUAAAAAAUAUAACCAGAUAACAAGGCAAGUGUGAACUACCACAAUGUGUAUAUUGUGUUUCAGGCGCAGUAAUUGUAACAAUAGUCAUACGAUGAAUUUUGUCAGUGAUGUGGGAAUCAGAAUUUUUUAAUGUGAACGCUUUUUAUCUGAAAAAUAUUGCAGCAAUUGAUUACAAAAAUCUCUCAUUGAACUCUUCUUCGGUUCUACCUAAAGAAUCACGUUAACUAAAAAGCUGUACAAAGCAAUACCCAAGCACUGUCAAAACAUAAUUGACAAUUCAUAACAAAAUCUGUCAUAUCAUACAAAAUAAAUUCAGCUACUAGUCAUACAGUAUGACUCAUACUGUGUUAUCAUAACUUUAUAGAGCUGAUGGCCCUGGCAGCUAAUGCUCGUUCGAUAUUAACGUAUUAAUUUAGUUAAUUCGUUAAAAAUAAUAUCCAUACAAUACAUACAUACAUAUCAUGUACAUACAACCUUUAUCAGCACCAAUAGAUGUUAUUAUCACCAAAUGUCGAAAGGUUAUCAGCGAUCUCUUGUAUAUAGAAGAUGAGCGACCGCAAGAGACACGGAUGUUGUGAAUAAAAUUAAAUUUUUAACUCAAGUGGAACUUUAGGCGAAAAUGCAAGUUCAUAACAUCAUCCCUCGUGCCAUCUGUACGCUCAGCACGAGAACUCAAAUAUCCAACGCCUCCAAUAAAGCGAUCAAUCGGCGGCCUACGGCUCAAGCUUCAUUUGCUGAAGUGAUUCGCCUACGAUCACAUUUUUCACCUAUUUGCAAAUUAUACGAAGUAAAGUCCGGAUUCGGCAGAUUUGGGGCAAACUUUUCAACGG